GCGACCCCAGGUCAGGCGGGAUCACCCGCUGAGUUUAAGCAUAUCAAUAAGCGGAGGAGAAGAAACUUACAAGGAUUCCCCUAGUAACGGCGAGCGAACCGGG
Molecule: ribosomal RNA, 103 nt
Filed under: Streptocarpus meyeri
Lineage: Eukaryota; Viridiplantae; Streptophyta; Magnoliopsida; Lamiales; Gesneriaceae
Description: partial 28S ribosomal RNA
Rfam family: Eukaryotic large subunit ribosomal RNA
Source: RNAcentral